AGUGAACGCUGGCGGUAGGCCUAACACAUGCAAGUCGAACGGCAGCACAGUAAGAGCUUGCUCUUACGGGUGGCGAGUGGCGGACGGGUGAGGAAUACAUCGGAAUCUACUUUUUCGUGGGGGAUAACGUAGGGAAACUUACGCUAAUACCGCAUACGACCUACGGGUGAAAGCAGGGGAUCUUCGGACCUUGCGCGAUUGAAUGAGCCGAUGUCGGAUUAGCUAGUUGGCGGGGUAAAGGCCCACCAAGGUGACGAUCCGUAGCUGGCCUGAGAGGAUGAUCAGCCACACUGGAACUGAGACACGGUCCAGACUCCUACGGGAGGCAGCAGUGGGGAAUAUUGGACAAUGGGCGCAAGCCUGAUCCAGCCAUACCGCGUGGGUGAAGAAGGCCUUCGGGUUGUAAAGCCCUUUUGUUGGGAAAGAAAAGCAGCAGGUUAAUACCCCGCUGUUCUGACGGUACCCAAAGAAUAAGCACCGGCUAACUUCGUG
This 492-nucleotide ribosomal RNA is filed under the name uncultured bacterium. RNAcentral describes it as "partial 16S ribosomal RNA". It matches the Rfam family "Bacterial small subunit ribosomal RNA", at positions 29 to 507 of the family's 1533-position model. The record is from RNAcentral.